Cinara cedri is the source of this 418-nucleotide non-coding RNA. The record is from the annotation of a GenBank genome assembly. Lineage: Eukaryota; Metazoa; Arthropoda; Insecta; Hemiptera; Aphididae.
UGAAGUUUUAACUGUAGAGAAUAAUAAUAUUUGAGUAUGAUUUUUUUAAGUAGUGCUUAGCAAAGAAUCUAUUGAUUUUACUUUGCGUGAUUUUUUUUUUUUUUUAAUAAUUUUUUUUUUAAUGACUGUGAGCACUUUUUCUGACAGGAAUUUUAUGUAGUUUUUUGGGGAGGUUUUUUUUUAAUUUUCCAAGGAGUUUUCAUAAUAAUUGGUAAAAAUUUAAAAAAAAUAAAUGUUCGGAAAACUGGCCAUUAUUUACAGCAUGCCCCAGCUUUACUGAUUUGAUCGUUUUUAAUUUUCACGAUUCGUGUUUCCUACAAGAAAUCUUACUUCAAUCAAAAAAUAACAAGAGACUUUUUUUGGUUAAUUUUUAAUCUAUUUCGUGUAUAAGAAAAUCAGUUUUUGAUUUUCCGUGUAG